ACGAGUUUGAUCCUGGCUCAGAACGAACGCUGGCGGCAUGCCUAACACAUGCAAGUCGAACGAGACCUUCGGGUCUAGUGGCGCACGGGUGCGUAACACGUGGGAAUUUGCCUCGGGGUAUGGAAUAACUCAGGGAAACUUGAGCUAAUACCAUAUAAUGUCUUCGGACCAAAGAUUUAUCGCCCUGAGAUAAGCCCGCGUAGGAUUAGCUAGUUGGUGAGGUAAAGGCUCACCAAGGCGACGAUCCUUAGCUGGUCUGAGAGGAUGAUCAGCCACACUGGAACUGAGACACGGUCCAGACUCCUACGGGAGGCAGCAGUGGGGAAUUUUGGACAAUGGGCGCAAGCCUGAUCCAGCAAUGCCGCGUGCAGGAUGAAGGCCUUCGGGUUGUAAACUGCUUUUGUACGGAACGAAACGGUGAGCUCUAAUACAGUUUGCUAAUGACGGUACCGUAAGAAUAAGCACCGGCUAACUACGUG
Molecule: ribosomal RNA, 479 nt
Filed under: uncultured bacterium
Lineage: Bacteria
Description: bacterial SSU rRNA
Rfam family: Bacterial small subunit ribosomal RNA
Source: RNAcentral